CGGUCUUCGAGGAAAUUCACGUGAAAUAACUAAUAAGAAAGAAAGUUUUUGGUAGUGGCAUGGGCGUAAUUAAAUACCAAUCCCAUGGUUAUUUCAAAACAUCCACAGCCAUCCAGCCACUCCUAUAUAAACCCUAUAUUUCUCUCAGAACUCACAUAAAAAAUAUUGCAAGUUUAGGGUCAUAAAAAUCUCUAUCAUCACAAACAAAUAUAGGGUUUGUUGAUUUGGUGGCUGCUUUCGCCGUCUUUGCUUUCAAAAUUCAAUCUUGACCUGUUUCUUUUAUGCUUUUUGAAUAGGGUUUUUUUUUUUUGAACUUGAGAAAGAGGGGGUU
This is a long non-coding RNA of Populus nigra (black poplar), 331 nucleotides long. RefSeq lists it as uncharacterized. The record is from RefSeq and is a predicted model, not a curated record. The transcript has 2 exons. Lineage: Eukaryota; Viridiplantae; Streptophyta; Magnoliopsida; Malpighiales; Salicaceae.